UCCUGUUCUCCGAAGGGCGACACUGGACACUUUCCCACGUGACUCCCAUCUCUGGGCCCCGGCUCUGUGCAUGGCGAAGUCCCCGGAGAACUCUACCCUGGAGGAGAUUCUGGGGCAGUAUCAACGGAGUCUCCGGGAACGUGCGAAUAGAAGCAUUCACCAACUGCAGUGUGCACUGAGAGACGGUGAUGUCAGUGUUGGAGAAGGUGCCCUGGAUGCCACGUGUGGUAAUGGUGUGGAAAAUGAGGACCCUGGGAUGGCUUGGCAUGAACUUCAACACAGCCAUGCCGUCAAUCAACUCAAAGCUUUGUUGCGCCAACAGGCAACUAAGGAAAGUGAGGUGUCUCCAUCAAGAAGACGAAAUGUGUCCCCUCUGAGGUCAUCAGAGUAUGAGGAAGCCAGUAUCCCUACUGUAUACAAUCUCGUUCCUAUCAUCAAUGACCAGUCUCAAUACAUUCAUCAUUUAGAGGCAGAAGUCAAGUUCUGCAAGGAGGAACUCUCUGGAAUGAAAAAUAGGGUACAAGUAGUUGUGCUUGAAAAUGAAAGGCUCCAGCAAGAGCUGAAAUCUCAGAGACAGGAGGAAGCAAUGAGGGAACAAACACUUCUGGAUGCAUCUGGAAACCUGCAGAAUUCUUGGAUUACAACAGGUGAAGACUCUGGGGUGGAUGAAGCUGCCAAGUGGCGAUUCUCCCAGGACAAUGCAGAUACUGUCAAAGGUCCAUCGGCUGGUGAGGCUGAGAAAUGGAAGCUAGAACUGGAGAGGCUAAAACUUACUUAUGAAGAAAAGGGUGAGAUCCUGGAAUCUCAAUUGAAGUUUUUGAGGAAAGACCUAGCUGAAUAUCAGAAAAAUUGUGAAGAUCUUAAGGAGCGACUGAAGCAUAAAGAGUCUCUUCUCGCUGCUAAUAUGUCUAACUGUGUUGGUGGCCUUUGUCUGAAAUGUGCUCAGCACGAAGCUGUUCUCUCCCAAACCCAUAAUAAUGUUCACAUGCAGACCAUUGAAAGACUGACUAAGGAAAGGGAUGACUUAAUGUCUGCGCUGGUCUCCGUCAGGAGCAGCUUGACAGAUGGGCAGCAAAGAGAAGCCAGUGCUUAUGAGCAGGUGAAACAGGCUCUGCAGAUGACCGAGGAGGCCAACUUCGAGAAAACCAAGGCUUUAAUCCAGUGUGAGCAGUUGAAGAAUCAACUGGAGAGACAGACAGAGCGACUUGAAAAAGAACUCGCAUCUCAGCAAGAGAAAAGGGCCCUUGAGAAACAGACGAUGAGAAAGGAAAUAACAAAAGAAAGGGAAGACGUGGGAUCAAAGAUGUUGUCCCUGUCUCAAAAUAUUGCCCAACUGGAGGCCCAGGUUGAAAAGGUUACAAGAGAGAAAAUUUCAGCUAUUAAUCAACUCGAAGAAGUUCAAAACCAGCUUACUUCCAAGGAAAUGGAUGUCACAAAGGUGUGCGGGGAAAUGCGCUAUCAGUUGAAUAAAACCAAAAUGGAGAAGGAUGAGGCAGAGAAGGAACACAGAGAGUACAGAACCAAAACUAAAAGGGAUCUUGAAAUUAAAGAUGAGGAAAUAGAGAAAUUGAAAUUAGAAGUGAGGGAAAGCAAGCAGCACUUGGAACAGGAACAGCAGAAGGCAGCCCGGGCCAGAGAGGAGUGCCUGAAACUGACAGAGCUGCUGAGCGAAUCCGAGCACCAACUGCACCUCACCAGACUGGAAAAAGAUAGCAUUCAGCAGAGCUUUAGCAACGAAGCAAAGGCCCAAGCCCUUCAGGCCCAGCAAAGAGAACAGGAGCUGACACAGAAGAUACAGCAAAUGGAGGCCCAGCAUGACAAAACUGAAAAUGAACAGUAUUCAUUGCUGACCUCCCAGAAUACAUUUUUGACAAAGUUAAAGGAAGAGUGCUGUGCAUUAGCCAAGAAACUGGAGCAAAUCUCUAAAAAAAGCAGGUCUGAAAUAGCUCAGCUCAGUCAAGAGAAAAGGUAUAUGUAUGACAAACUGGAAAAGUCAGAGAGGAGAAAUGAGGAAUUGGAGGAGCAGUGUGUCCAACACGGGAGACUACAUGAGAUAAUGAAGCAGAGGCUAAAGCAGCUGGACAAGCACAGCCAGGCCACGGCCCAGCAGCUGGUGCAGCUUCUCAAAAAGCAGAACCAGCUUCUGCUAGAGAGACAGAGCCUGUCAGAAGAGGUGGAAUGUCUGAGAUCCCAGCCACAGAGAUGCUUUGACCAUCCUGAGUUAUCUGAUACCAGCCCAUCUGGCUCAUCUCUAAAGGGAUCUUUCAGAUUCAAACAGUACAUUUGGAGUUAUUUUAAUAUGAACAGGACAAAAGACAUUUCAUAGAGGGACUGUUGGCUUUCAGUAGCAAAUACUGGUGUUCAAAGAAGAGGCAGGGAUCCAGUUUUGCAAGCUUGCUGCGGAAUAUCUAAACCGAAGGCCUGCUCUUUCUACCCAAGUGUGGCAUUAGACCUACUUGGCCGUGGAAUAAACUGGAAUUGUGAGUUUAGCUUCCAACCGUUGAGGUGAACAAGGCCGCUGUGUGCUCCCAGCAGGGAUGUUGGAGGACACAGCCUGCUGCGAGCUCCCGAGUGACUGACCCCGCUCCCUGUUUUCCUGGAGAGACACUGGUUCAUCUCUCGUUUAGGGAUGAAGCGUUUAACUAAAGGCUUCCGUUUUCUCGGCCGGGAUGGAUUAAGCAUAAGGACUUAACUGCUUGUGUCAGACUCUCAAACUCUGUCCACCCGACACCCAGCAGGGAGUGGAGAGCUCCUGGCCGGGGCUGCUGCUCCGAAGCUGAGUCCCAGGCCUCUGGUUUGCUCCCAGGCCCCGAGCCCUGGGCCCUGGAGCAGAUGACGGGCCUUGGGUCGGCCUGCCGCCUCUUACGGGAAACUGACAUCUGUUCAGAAGGCUUUCUUAUUCUCAGUCGUUUCUGCUUACAUCCUGAAACCCGCACAACAGUCUGGCAGAGCGAGCCGGUCGUAGUGGUAAGUAGGCCAUGGUGACGAUUUUAACCAUGACAAUUCCCGUCUUUCCCUGCAACACUGCUGGUGUGCAGGCCGCGGGCCGCCAGUGGGCCUGGCUCAGGGCUUCGGGGCCGCCUUUCUUCGUGUGACUAAAAGUGGUGGCUUUGUUACUCUCCUGCCUCAUGCUGCGGGUGGGGGACUUCUAGAAAAUGGCUUUUAAAAUGUCCUCAAAUGGCUAUGCUGGUCAUCCUGAAGACCCCCACCCAGCCUGCCUGCAGACAUGGCCCCACGGCCCCUCCCUGGGCACAGGCCCUGUCGCCUCUUCUUGGUGGGCACAGAGACUCUGGCUGGGUCUCAGGGGAGUGGUGGUGGGGCCUGGUGGCUGGGAGCAGGGAGUCAGGGGUCUGGGACCCAGCGCCUGGGGCUCUAACAUCUGGCCAAGGAGGGUGGCACCAGCUGCUGAGAUCAGUCUCUUCUUGGGGAGAAUGGCAGCUGAGAGAUGGGAAAGAACAGAAGUUGUCCAUUUAGAGGAUGGUUUUAUACCCCCGAGGGUUUGUGGGGGAACUACUCAUUGGGCAAUGACUCGGGGUUCAGAUUUGCAUCUUUUGAUAGCCACUUUCUCCCCCGGGCCCUGGGGCUCUGUCCUCAGUGCUCAGUCUGGGGAGGGGCGCCCUUCCAGUCCCUGCAGACGAAGCAUCUCUACAGUCGGGAAGCUUUCCUGAGACUGACUUAUCAGUGAUUAAUCAGUUGGCCCUGUGACUUUUGCGUAUUCUUGGCAGUGAACUGACUUUCUAAUUUGAUUCAAACUUGUGCUUGGAUCCAGCAGCCACAUGUGAUUAUAAGGAAAAUCAUGGACAUUGUCUCAUCACACGGAAGGAUGUGGCAAGAGAGCUGAAAGGAGCAAAGAACCGGGCACAGGGGAGGAGGGGAGGCAGGGCCCAUUUAUGACCUGAAGCCAGGGGCAGGGCACCUUCAGAAAUGGCCGCUUGAGGGAGGGUCACCAGGCGGGGGUCCUGCUGAGGAGUGGGGGGGGGUGCCUGCCGCUCGCCCCGGAUGGGACCUGGAGAUGUACGCAGGUUUGUGAGGGUCCUUCCUGAGCGUUGGGGGCCUCGCCGGCCUCACAUGGGUGCUUCCCCAAAGUUAGCUACCUGCAGGACAGAUGGUGCUUGAAUAGAACAGCAAAUACACUGAAUAAAAUAAAUUAGAAAGCCUCCUCCUGAACCAAGAGUUUUUGGAAAGAAUUCUAAAUAGAUGAAAACAAACAAUUUGAUUUCAACCAAAUUGUUGUUUUUUUGUUUUUAUCCUGAUUUUCACCCGAAUUGUCAGUCUCAAAAAUAAACACUGAUACAUUCCCAGAAAAUAUUUUUCAAAUAAAAACUGACUCUGUUAAAGUUUGCCCUGAUUCUUUCAAAACUGUGUACAAGACACUGUCAACCAAAGUGACUUGCAUAUUUUUUUAAAUACACUUGAACAUAUGCAGCAAAAAUGUCAUUAACUCCCUGCUGCCUGAGUGUUUUUCAAGAGUGACACGAGACCCCUGGUGCUGUGUUUCCAACAUAAGGGUCUCGCGACCCUCAGAGAAACUUCCCCGAGCAACUCGAAUAGCACAGUUUAACUUUUGUGGGUUGUUUUUUUUUUUUUGUCCCCACGGAAGGCCCUGUGUGUAAUUAAUAUUGAAAAGCACAUACGGCUUCAUUGAAGCCAAACUUGCUCUUCCAUUUAACAGUUCAGUUUGUCCAAGAGUGAAUAAUUUCAGAAUGAGACUCAUGGAAGAAAAAUAAAUCGAAUUUUCUGUUGCUUCAGACACACUUGCUCCAGUUAUUGCUUCCUGAGUCAGACGUUACAUUUUGCAAUAUAAAUUCACAAUCAAGAUUUUAAAGGGAGCUAAAUAUUUUAAUCCAAUUAGACAAGUGAACAAAACACUGAAUAUUGCAUGGAGUGUGGAGAAGUGGUUCUUGCCUUUAAAAGACUGUGAUUCCGUCACAUUACAACCCCAAAUGUCAGUGUUGUCUUUAUUCUUAACGCUUUCAAACAUGAGGCAGCCAGAGGCUCCUCUCUGUGCUGUUGGUGACACUGUCUGUCCUUUGGGAAUUCUUAAAAAUCUAUUUACCAUGGAAACAUGGUCCCUAUAAAACACAGACACCUGCCCAUGUGCAGAGGAAGUUUGCGGGACUCGCGGGAUUCCCGGAAGCUGGAAGAUGACAUCGUGGGAUUGCACGAGGUGUGGGACCCUGGUGUCGGCAGAGCUCCGAGGAGGAGCGGGGCGCAGGAGCUGCCAGAUCCGGGGGCGCCUGGGCACUUUGACCCUGGCCGUCCGUGGUCCUCCCCCCCCCCCCCCCCGCCCCCGCCCCCCUCGCCCGCCGGGCCGCAGGUCCAAGUCCAGCUCCAGCUGCUGUUUUCCAGAAAGCCAAGGAAGCAUCGCCCCGCCUUCGUUCUGCAACGAAGGCUUUCCCGCCUCUGCUUUUCCUUUCUCUGGUUUCUCCUGAUGCUCCCCGCUUUGGGAGCCCAAACACAGGGAGCCAGGCCUGUGGUCCCCAUGGUCUAGGGACCCUGGGGCUUUGACCUCUGUCUGCACAGACCAGUGGUCGUCAGAGGCCCGAGGGGAGAAGGACCGCCGGGUGUGCUGGUGACCUCAUUGUGAACUCUGGGCCCGUUUUGCACCUGCCCACAGCCGGAUGGAUUCCUGGGAAGGUCAGUGAGUGUGCAGGCCACUUAGCAGGGCGCAAGGCGGGACUCUGCUGACCCGGAGGCAGCCCGCCGUGUGCCCUGCGCCUUCUGCCAUGUCGCGGGCCCCCCUGAAGGCCAUGUUCCACGAAGUUCUGCAGAGGACUGGUGAGGGCACCUUCCUCCGAGCGAACCGGUGACCACCUGGAGGAGUCCACGUGGCCUGUGUGCGCUGGCCGGCCUUCCCCAUGACUCCUGCUCAGCUCCACAAAGAUCACACUUGGUGGCUUAUGUGCUCUCACUGAGCGGGUCAGAAGAGCACAAGAGAGCCUGGACUUCGAGGUCACACCACCGGGGGCUCAGAUCUCAGCUCUGUACCACUUCGGGGAAGUGGUUUAGCUUUCCUAUCACUCAGGUCCUGGUCAAAACCAAAACCGAAACCAAAAAACAAACAAAAACCCUUAAAAAGAGAACCGGCUUCCCUUUAGGAGGGAGCCCCCACACAACCCCGACUCCGGUGAAGGUGACCGUGAAGCCGGCCAGGUUGGCAGGUGUGAAGGGGCCACUGGAUAAAUCAUUCAGUGUCCUUUCUGUACAGGUAGGAGAAAGAAGGCCCAGAGAUGAAGUGAACAGAACUGGGAAGUGACUGGCAGGGAACUGAACUCAAGAAGGUGGUCAGUCCCUGGGCUGCGGGCUGCUGGCUGCUUGGACAGACUUGCGCACUAAAGAGGCAC
Molecule: RNA transcript, 6344 nt
Organism: Mirounga angustirostris (Northern elephant seal)
Lineage: Eukaryota; Metazoa; Chordata; Mammalia; Carnivora; Phocidae
Gene: SDCCAG8
Gene name: SHH signaling and ciliogenesis regulator SDCCAG8
Exons: 19
Source: RefSeq, a predicted model, not a curated record